RNAcentral lists this ribosomal RNA (275 nucleotides) under uncultured prokaryote. Its description in RNAcentral is "partial 16S ribosomal RNA". It matches the Rfam family "Bacterial small subunit ribosomal RNA", at positions 524 to 798 of the family's 1533-position model. The record is from RNAcentral.
UACGAAGGGUGCAAGCGUUAAUCGGAAUUACUGGGCGUAAAUCGCGCGUAGGUGGUUCGUUAAGUUAGGAGUGAAAGCCCCGGGCUCAACCUGGGAAUUGCUUCUAAAACUGGCGAGCUAGAGUAUGGUAGAGGGUGGUGGAAUUUCCUGUGUAGCGGUGAAAUGCGUAGAUAUAGGAAGGAACAUCAGUGGCGAAGGCGACCACCUGGACUGAUACUGACACUGAGGUGCGAAAGCGUGGGGAGCAAACAGGAUUAGAUACCCCUGUAGUCCCU